RNAcentral lists this ribosomal RNA (112 nucleotides) under uncultured bacterium. RNAcentral describes it as "partial 16S ribosomal RNA". The record is from RNAcentral.
CCCAGUUGACCGCGUGGUAUGAGUGAAACGGCCCUAGGGUUGUAAAGUCCGUUUCGACGGGGAAAGAUAAUGACGGUACCCGUAGAAAGGAAGCCCCGGCUAAACUUCGUGC